CAAAGCACUUUGAAGAGAGAGUUAAAGAGGACGUGAAACCGAUAAGAUUGAAACGGAUAGAGCCGACGUAUCUAACCCGUAUUCAGCUGUAGAGCGGUACUUGGUAGAUUGACUGGUCCUGCUUCUGGCUGGUCGAUUUGCUUUGAGUGCUGUUUUGCAGUGCAUUUACAGGUGGAGUGCGCUGAGAGAUACACUUCAGCGGUUGGAAGCCGGUCAAGAGGCCUUUACCUUCGGGCAAGAAACCCAGACUGGUGAAAGACUGUUUGUCGUGUUUGCUUAUACGAGUGUGGCCUACGAGUCGGCUAGCUUCUUGUUCUGCGGUGGAUAGCGGUCGCAUGCGACUGUUACUGCUUGCGGUUUAGGUUGCUGGUGCGGAUUCUCGCGCUCAAUCUCGGUGUAAAAGUUGGUCAUCUAUCCGACCCGUCUUGAAACACGGACCAAGGAGUUUAGCGGAUGCGCGAGUCAUUGGGUGUUAAAACCUAAAGGCGCAAUGAAAGUAAAGGUAUCCUUAUGGAACUGAUAUGCGAUCCUGGGCAUCUUGGUGCCUAGGCGCAGCAUAGCCCCAUCCUAAUUGCUUGCAAUGGGGUGGAGGUAGAGCGUAUCCGCUGAGACCCGAAAGAUGGUGAACUAUGCCUGAGCAGGAUGAAGCCAGAGGAAACUCUGGUGGAAGUCCGAAGCGGUUCUGACGUGCAAAUCGAUCGUCUGACUUGGGUAUAGGGGCGAAAGACUAAUCGAACCAUCUAGUAGCUGGUUCCUGCUGAAGUUUCCCCCAGGAUAGCUGGAGCUCGGGAAUGUAGUUAUACUCGGUAAAGCGAACGAUUAGAGGACUUGGGGACGAAAUGUCCUUAACCUAUUCUCAAACUCUCAAUGGGUAUGAAGCUGGUGUUUCUUUAUUGAACUCUGGCGUUGAAUACAUGAGCUCCAAGUGGGCCAUUUUUGGUAAGCAGAACUGGCGAUGCGGGAUGAACCGAACGCAGUGUUAAGGUGCCAAAGUUUCCGCUCAUUAGACCCCAUAAAAGGUGUUGGUUGAUAUAGACAGCAGGACGGUGGCCAUGGAAGUCGGAAUCCGCUAAGGAGUGUGUAACAACUCACCUGCCGAAUCAACUAGCCCUGAAAAUGGAUGGCGCUGGAGCGGGACACCUAUACUCUGCCGUUAGCUGCUUGAAUUUUCCUCGGAGAAUAUCUGGCUCUAACGUGUAAGCAGGUCGUAGUGGUUUGCGUUGAAGGCUUGGGGUGUGGA
This 1240-nucleotide ribosomal RNA is filed under the name Litylenchus crenatae. RNAcentral describes it as "partial 28S ribosomal RNA". It matches the Rfam family "Eukaryotic large subunit ribosomal RNA", at positions 367 to 1421 of the family's 3401-position model. The record is from RNAcentral. Lineage: Eukaryota; Metazoa; Nematoda; Chromadorea; Rhabditida; Anguinidae.